GACGAACGCUGGCGGCGUGCCUAAUACAUGCAAGUCGAACGAACUCUGGUAUUGAUUGGUGCUUGCAUCAUGAUUUACAUUUGAGUGAGUGGCGAACUGGUGAGUAACACGUGGGAAACCUGCCCAGAAGCGGGGGAUAACACCUGGAAACAGAUGCUAAUACCGCAUAACAACUUGGACCGCAUGGUCCGAGCUUGAAAGAUGGCUUCGGCUAUCACUUUUGGAUGGUCCCGCGGCGUAUUAGCUAGAUGGUGAGGUAACGGCUCACCAUGGCAAUGAUACGUAGCCGACCUGAGAGGGUAAUCGGCCACAUUGGGACUGAGACACGGCCCAAACUCCUACGGGAGGCAGCAGUAGGGAAUCUUUCACAAUGGACGAAAGUCUGAUGGAGCAACGCCGCGUGAGUGAAGAAGGGUUUCGGCUCGUAAAACUCUGUUGUUAAAGAAGAACAUAUCUGAGAGUAACUGUUCAGGUAUUGACGGUAUUUAACCAGAAAGCCACGGCUAACUACGUGCCAGCAGCCGCGGUAAUACGUAGGUGGCAAGCGUUGUCCGGAUUUAUUGGGCGUAAAGCGAGCGCAGGCGGUUUUUUAAGUCUGAUGUGAAAGCCUUCGGCUCAACCGAAGAAGUGCAUCGGAAACUGGGAAACUUGAGUGCAGAAGAGGACAGUGGAACUCCAUGUGUAGCGGUGAAAUGCGUAGAUAUAUGGAAGAACACCAGUGGCGAAGGCGGCUGUCUGGUCUGUAACUGACGCUGAGGCUCGAAAGUAUGGGUAGCAAACAGGAUUAGAUACCCUGGUAGUCCAUACCGUAAACGAUGAAUGCUAAGUGUUGGAGGGUUUCCGCCCUUCAGUGCUGCAGCUAACGCAUUAAGCAUUCCGCCUGGGGAGUACGGCCGCAAGGCUGAAACUCAAAGGAAUUGACGGGGGCCCGCACAAGCGGUGGAGCAUGUGGUUUAAUUCGAAGCUACGCGAAGAACCUUACCAGGUCUUGACAUACUAUGCAAAUCUAAGAGAUUAGACGUUCCCUUCGGGGACAUGGAUACAGGUGGUGCAUGGUUGUCGUCAGCUCGUGUCGUGAGAUGUUGGGUUAAGUCCCGCAACGAGCGCAACCCUUAUUAUCAGUUGCCAGCAUUAAGUUGGGCACUCUGGUGAGACUGCCGGUGACAAACCGGAGGAAGGUGGGGAUGACGUCAAAUCAUCAUGCCCCUUAUGACCUGGGCUACACACGUGCUACAAUGGAUGGUACAACGAGUUGCGAACUCGCGAGAGUAAGCUAAUCUCUUAAAGCCAUUCUCAGUUCGGAUUGUAGGCUGCAACUCGCCUACAUGAAGUCGGAAUCGCUAGUAAUCGCGGAUCAGCAUGCCGCGGUGAAUACGUUCCCGGGCCUUGUACACACCGCCCGUCACACCAUGAGAGUUUGUAACACCCAAAGUCGGUGGGGUAACCUUUUAGGAACCAGCCGCCUAAGGUGGGACAGAUGAUUAGGGUG
RNAcentral lists this ribosomal RNA (1489 nucleotides) under Lactiplantibacillus argentoratensis. Its description in RNAcentral is "bacterial SSU rRNA". It matches the Rfam family "Bacterial small subunit ribosomal RNA". Lineage: Bacteria; Bacillati; Bacillota; Bacilli; Lactobacillales; Lactobacillaceae. The record is from RNAcentral.